This 596-nucleotide ribosomal RNA is filed under the name Candidatus Williamhamiltonella defendens. Its description in RNAcentral is "bacterial SSU rRNA". It matches the Rfam family "Bacterial small subunit ribosomal RNA", at positions 65 to 643 of the family's 1533-position model. The record is from RNAcentral. Lineage: Bacteria; Pseudomonadati; Pseudomonadota; Gammaproteobacteria; Enterobacterales; Enterobacteriaceae.
AGCGGCAUCGAGUGAKCGCAGUUUACUGAGUUCAUGUCGGCGAGCGGCGGACGGGUGAGUAAAGUCUGGGAAUCUGGCCGAAGGAGGGGGAUAACUGCUGGAAACGGCAGCUAAUACCGCAUGAAGUCGCGAGACCAAAGUGGGGGACCUUCGGGCCUCACGCCUUCGGAUGAGCCCAGAUGAGAUUAGCUGGUAGGUAAGGUAAAGGCUUACCUAGGCGACGAUCUCUAGCGGGUCUGAGAGGAUAGCCCGCCACACUGGAACUGAGACACGGUCCAGACUCCUACGGGAGGCAGCAGUGGGGAAUAUUGCACAAUGGGCGAAAGCCUGAUGCAGCCAUGCCACGUGUGUGAAGAAGGCCUUCGGGUUGUAAAGCACUUUCAGCGAGGAGGAAGCGAUAAAUGCGAAUACCAUUUAUUUUUGACGUUACUCGCAGAAGAAGCACCGGCUAACUCCGUGCCAGCAGCCGCGGUAAUACGGAGGGUGCGAGCGUUAAUCGGAAUAACUGGGCGUAAAGGGCAUGUAGGCGGUGAGUUAAGUCAGAUGUGAAAUCCCCGAGCUCAACUUUGGGAAUGGCAUUUGAAACUGGGUCGCUA